UUGCAUUUACCCACGACCCUAGUGAGGAUAAACAGUUCUGAAAAUGGAGGAAAUCUGAUAUAAUGCUCCAAAACAAUUCUCCUUUUGUUUAGUAAUUGAGCCCUCCGUGGGUAUUGCGCAAUCCGCGUCACUGACCAAUCAGAGGCCAGAGAUCUGCAUAAACCAAAGCCCGUUUUUGCUCCCGCCAUUUUCUCAGACAACAUUGCAUGGUCCAGUAUAGGUUUAGUUUGGGUUAUUUAACAAAAAAUAUGGUUAAGAGGUGUAGUCACGGACUUUGUAAUAGUGACGACAGGUAUCCUGAAAGGCUAGUUGGCGGAGUUCGAUUCGUACCCUUUCCAAAACCAAAGACCAGUACGAAAAAUGCCUUCGAUGGAUCAAACUUUGUGGAAGACCGCAUCAUCAACUAAAUCCAUCUAAUAUCAACCGGAACACAUAUGUUUGCACGAAGGAUUGAGCUGUCAUGGAACAAAUUAAACUUACCAGCGGACUUUCCACGUUACACGAGACCGGCCACAGCGUUGGAUUGCAGUUCUUCGUGAAGCCCUUGCCGCACUGGACGCACACAAAAGGCUUUUCCCCCGUGUGCGUGCGCUGGUGCAUGUCCAGGGUGCACUUCUGGAUGAAGCCCUUGCCGCAGACGGGACAUCGGUACGGCUUCUCGC
Long non-coding RNA from Syngnathoides biaculeatus (alligator pipefish), 662 nucleotides. RefSeq lists it as uncharacterized. The record is from RefSeq and is a predicted model, not a curated record. The transcript has 4 exons. Lineage: Eukaryota; Metazoa; Chordata; Actinopteri; Syngnathiformes; Syngnathidae.